Molecule: ribosomal RNA, 253 nt
Filed under: uncultured bacterium
Lineage: Bacteria
Description: partial 16S ribosomal RNA
Rfam family: Bacterial small subunit ribosomal RNA
Source: RNAcentral
UACAGAGGUGGCAAGCGUUGUUAGGAAUUACUGGGCGUAAAGGGCGCGUAGGCGGUCCGAAAAGUCCCGCGUGAAAUCCCCCGGCUCAACUGGGGUACUGCGCGGGUAACUGCCAGGGUGGAGUUCGUGAGAGGGUAGCGGAAUUCCGGGUUUAGCGGUGAAAUGCGUAGAUAUCCGGAGGAACACCGGUGGCGAAGGUGGCUUCCUGGACCGAGACUGACGCUGAGGCGCGAAAGCUAGGGGAGUAAACGGG